Molecule: ribosomal RNA, 747 nt
Filed under: uncultured Methanosarcinaceae archaeon
Lineage: Archaea; Methanobacteriati; Methanobacteriota; Methanomicrobia; Methanosarcinales; Methanosarcinaceae
Description: SSU rRNA
Rfam family: Archaeal small subunit ribosomal RNA
Source: RNAcentral
GGAUAACCUGCCCUUGGGUCCGGCAUAACCCCGGGAAACUGGGAAUAAUACCGGAUAACGCACAUAUGCUGGAAUGCUUUAUGCGUAAAAUGGAUUCGUCUGCCCAAGGAUGGGUCUGCGGCCUAUCAGGUAGUAGUGGGUGUAAUGUACCUACUAGCCUUCAACGGGUACGGGUUGUGAGAGCAAGAGCCCGGAGAUGGAUUCUGAGACAUGAAUCCAGGCCCUACGGGGCGCAGCAGGCGCGAAAACUUUACAAUGCGGGAAACCGUGAUAAGGGGACACCGAGUGCUAGCAUCAUAUGCUGGCUGUCCAGGUGUGUAAAAUACACCUGUUAGCAAGGGCCGGGCAAGACCGGUGCCAGCCGCCGCGGUAACACCGGCGGCCCGAGUGGUGAUCGUGAUUAUUGGGUCUAAAGGGUCCGUAGCCGGUUUGGUCAGUCCUCCGGGAAAUCUGAUAGCUCAACUAUUAGGCUUUCGGGGGAUACUGCCAGACUUGGAACCGGGAGAGGUAAGAGGUACUACAGGGGUAGGAGUGAAAUCUUGUAAUCCCUGUGGGACCACCUGUGGCGAAGGCGUCUUACCAGAACGGGUUCGACGGUGAGGGACGAAAGCUGGGGGCACGAACCGGAUUAGAUACCCGGGUAGUCCCAGCCGUAAACGAUGCUCGCUAGGUGUCAGGCAUGGCGCGACCGUGUCUGGUGCCGCAGGGAAGCCGUGAAGCGAGCCACCUGGGAAGUACGGCCGCAAG